AAGACUAUACUUUCAGGGAUCAUUUCUAUAGUUUCUGACUUGAGAGAUGCAUUUCUAAAGUGUUUGGUCACGCUAACCACGAUGAAGAGGCAUGACGUCCUUCUCUGAGCGCGAAGCGGAUGGAGAAUGUUGAUUAUUUUCAAUUGUUCUCUGUCAUUGAUGACCGUUCUAACUUCUUUUCGGAGAAGUUGGAGGAGAAGGACGCGUUCCGAGUGGUU
Molecule: small nucleolar RNA, 218 nt
Organism: Paramormyrops kingsleyae
Lineage: Eukaryota; Metazoa; Chordata; Actinopteri; Osteoglossiformes; Mormyridae
Product: small nucleolar RNA U3
Source: Ensembl